CUUUGCCAUUCCACAAACAGCUUACGAGCAAUAACAGAGUCACAAAACAAUGACUGCCUAUCUCCCUGAGGAAGUGGUGAUAAACAUACUCUCACGCCUACCUCCAAAAUCCCUAAUCCGAUUCAAGUGCGUCUCCAAAACCUGGCUCUCUCUCAUCGGAACCCCAGAUUUGAUCACUCGAAACCUCAUCAACAACUCCACUCUCAUCUCUAAAUACGAAGACCCCAAUAACCCUCUCUUCUUCCUCGUCAAAGCCACAGACAAAAACGAAACCUCGAAGCACACAUUCUCGUUCCUAUCCUACGACAACCUCGAUCCAGAAUACACAUCCGAAGUCAUCCUUAACCUCCCACAACCAAACCAUGGUCUCAACCUCGACAUCGUCGGUUCCUCCUCCGAUGGUCUCCUCUGUCUCUGUUUCGCAAGCACCAUCUACCUCUGGGACCCCACCACGUCAUCAGUGCUCGAGCCUCUCCCUCCUAUAACCCCUCGCGAAAUGGUCAAUGUCGAUUUCCACAGUGUUGGGUUCGGAUUCGAUUCCACAUCCAAUGACUUCAAGGUCGUGAGGCUUCUCAAUGUUCAUUUCAGGUCCGCGACCAAUUUGCUUCAUAUAAGUCAAGAAGCGGAAGUGUAUAGCGUCAGCAGUGGUUCGUGGAGGCAGCUGGAUCCUCAGGUUGCUCGCGUGCCUUAUGGGAUUCAUACACAGUCGAGGGUCACAAUGUACUUGGAUGGAAACUUUUUCUGGUGCGCGACCCCGCUUCCAUUAGAUAAUAAUGAGGAUGAGAAGAUUGUUCGCUUCGACUUUGCUAGGGAGGUAUUCAAGUCUACUUCAUUUCCGGACGCUUGUGUUAUUGGGGAUUACUCCAGUUGGAAGACGACUCUCACCGCGUUGAACGGGUCUAUUGCUAUGCUGGUUUAUCCUUUUGGGAAGGAGGUGGAGAUGUUGUGUUUUGAUAUAUGGGUUUUGUUUGAAUUUGGUGUUAGGGAGUCGUGGACUAAGCUUAUUAGAAUUGGACCCUCUUUGGAUUUGGAAAGGCCAUUGGGAUUUUGGGGGUAUGGAAAGAUGUUUAUGGAGAGCAAAGAAGGGCACCUGGUCUUGUAUGAUCCUUCUACAAACACAGGCAAGAUUUUUCCAUUUGAUGGGCUUAAGGGAUCGUUACAAGUUGCUCUCUACACUGAGUUUUGGGAAACAAACGAGGACGAUGGUGAAGACCAAGAGGAAGUGAAUCAAUGAGGUGUGCAAGGAGUGUUACUGGACAUCAUCAUGGUGAUAUUAUAUUUUGAUUCGGGCUUCAUUCUUUGGUAAUAUAAUAAAGAGGUACAAUGCUAACAAAAGUGCCGUGAUUGCUGGGAGAAAAGACACAAUGACUUCAGCUAUAUAAUUCAUGAUAUACUGUAAAUAUCCAAUAUAUAUAUAUAUAUAUAUAUAUAUUUUGUAGCAUUGAGUACUCAAGUGGGUAAAAAUUCACCUGUCAAGAAAAAAAAAUAUAUAUAUAUAUAUAUAUUUAUAUACAUUAUUUUUUUUCUUUUUGGGUAUACUGCGAGAAGAGAAAGAUAUUGUGAUCAGAAAAAGAUUACGAACAAACCUGGGUUGAGAAACAACUAAAGCAUUCUGGGCUAGAGCACAUUUUCAUAAGAAAUGGGUCACACCAUUGGCAGUUCUACGGUUCAAGAAAAGCCCGGAUUUUGAAAUUUUCUUUGCCUGUUAGAAUGAUCAAUUCCCCUUAUUUUUUACUUCAACCCAAAUGGCGUGAUACUAAUGCAUGUAGACUAUCAGACUAUGUGACUGCUUUCUUAAGUAGAUACGUACUUGCUGAGUGGUGACUGCUUUCUUAAGUAUACAACUCACCACUGAUAACUCAAAAUUCAAUGGUGGAAGCUCUUGCUGUUGUUUCUGAAAGGGUAACACUCUAUAUCUUAUAAUAACUGAUUUCAAACAUUUAGUUUGCGUACGAGAAAAUUAAUUUCUUGGGUAAAUAUCUUUACUAUGGUUGUUCUCAAGGAGGAUUGGAAGUCCAUAACUGAAGGAAGUCCUCUAUUUUUUGUUUAUAUAGUAGACGCAUGUUUUCUGGA
RNA transcript from Quercus lobata, 2073 nucleotides. It is a transcript of the gene named F-box/kelch-repeat protein At3g23880-like, with no coding region annotated. The record is from RefSeq and is a predicted model, not a curated record. NCBI's taxonomy places the organism in Eukaryota, Viridiplantae, Streptophyta, Magnoliopsida, Fagales, Fagaceae. The transcript has 3 exons.